CCUUGGAAUUGGAAAGAAAUUCUGUUAGUAAAACUGUCAAGGAUUCUAUGACAGGUCCGAAUUGGGGAUGAGUCCACAUACUCGAAUGAUGAUGAUGUUCCUGGAAAUCUCAGAUAUAUGUGGGGUUGGGGAAGUAUUUUGCGGAUUUGAAGAGGCCUUGGUUCUACAAUGAGGUGUAGGACUCGGCAGUUGAUCUGCAGUUUAGGGUGGUGGUGGGAAAGCAACUCUCAGAUUGAAUCCCUACAAUGAUCCUCAAAUUCAAGGAAUCAUGUAAGCGUGAAUUCUCUCGUCCAAGUUCUGAAAUGCUGAAUGAUUCCACCCACUCACAUGAUGAUAAUUUUCCUUGAAAUUCUCAGUUUUAUGUUGAGCUGAAGAAAUGCAUUGAGGAUUUGAAGGGACUUCUGAUCCACAGCGAGGUGUCGGUCGCUGGUGUCCAGUAUAUGGGGUUCGUCGGAAUUCGGAAAAUAACUCACUUUGAAUCUCUACAAUAAUCCUCAAAUUAAAGGUGAUAUGGUUCUCUCACAUUUUCUAAUUGGAUUUUAAAUCUUCUUUAACAGAGAGGAUGCCCUGUUUCGAAUUGUUAGGUCCUCAUAACUGUCAAGAUUAAGAGGUCUGUUCCUGUAAGUGAGGUAUUCCCUCUUAUUUGCUUAUGUCUUGUUUACGGGUGGCCUAUCCAAUGGAUAUUAUGUAGAUUUAAUCAAUUAUCUGCUCUCGAGUUGUUUCUUGUUUUCACCAAUUGUCCAAAGGGGUUUUGUUUAGAAAUCAUGCAGGCCUGAAUACUCUAGUCUGAGUUCUGAAAUGGUGGAUGAUUCCACACAUUCUCGUGGUGACAAUGUUCGUGGAAUGUUUCAGUUAUGUGCGGGGUUGGAGAAAUGUAUUGGGGGUCUGAAGGGGCUUCUGUUCCAUAGUGAAGUGUCGGUCUUGGUGUGCAAUUUAUGGGAGGUGGUGGGAGAACAACUCAAAUUGAAUCUCUCCCUUAAUUUCGUUUUGUUUCUGAAGUUGUUUUUACCAGAUAGAAGCUUACCCUAUUUCAAAUUUUUAGGUCAUCAUAUUUGUCAAGAUUAAGGAGGCUGUUCCUCUGAAUGUGAGGUAUUCUCUCUUAUUUUGUUUCGGGCUUGUUUUUGGGUGGCCUAUCCCAUGGAUAUCAUAUAAAUCCAAUCAUUUAUCUGCUUCAGAGUUAUUUCUGGUAGCAACUAUCCUCUGAACUGGUUUUGUUCAGAAAUCACGCAUGUGUGAAUACUCUAGUCUGUAUUCUGAAAUGAUCGAUGAUUCCCUGUACUCUCAUCAGUCUCAUGAUGAUAAUGCUUCUGGAAAGUCUCAGAUUUAUGUGGGGUUGAAUUAUAUUGCGGAUUUGAAGAGGCCUUGGUUCCACAGUAAGGUGCUGGUUGUCAGUAUGCAGUGUAUGCCAAUGAACCUCAAAUUAAAGGUGAAAUGGUGGUUCUCAAAAAUUAAUUUUCUCUUUUUGAUUUUAAAUUGUCUUUAACAGAGAGGAUACCCUGUUUCAAAUUGUUAGGUCACUCUCAAGAUUAAGGGGCCAGUUCCUCUCUAAUACUGUAUGUGAGGUCCUCCCUCUUAUGUUUUUGUCUUGGUUUUGGUUGUCCUGUCCCACGGAUAUCCUAUAAAUUCAAUCAUUUAUUACUCCAGAGUUGUUUUGGUUCAUUUAUUGUCUAAACAGGUUUUGUUCAGAAAUCCUGCAGGUGUGAAUACUCGUAUCUAAGUUCUGAAAAGCUGGAUGAUCCAUGCACUCUCAUGAUGAUACUUUUCCUACAAAAUCUAAGUUCUGAAAUGCUGGAGAAAUGUAUUAGGGAUUUAAAGGGACUUUUGAUCCACAGCGAGUUGCCAAUCGAUGGUGUCACUGUAUGGGGGCUCGUGAGAAAACAACUCUUGCAUUAAAUCUCUGCAAGGACCCUUAUAUUAAAGGUGAAAUGGUGGUUCCCAAAACAUUUUGUUUUGUUUUGAAGUUGUUGUCUUUAGUGAGAAGAAGGCCAUUCUGUUCCAAAUUUCUUGGCCCUCAUAACUGUCAAGAUUAGGGGAACUGUUCCUCCUUGUAGAAGGUAUUCCCUCCUGUUUGUCUCCUGUUUUGCUUUUGGGUGGAUAUUAUAACACUUAUAUCAUUAAUCUGCUGCACAAUUAAUUUUUAGUUGCAUCGAUUGGCUAGACUGGUUUUGUACGUAAAUGAUGCAGGCAUGAAUAUUCUACUAUAAGUUCUAAAAUAAUGGAUGAUUCCAUGCACCCUUGUGAUGAUAAUGUUCUUCAAAAGUCUCAGUUUUAUAUGGGGUUGGAGAAAUGUAUUGGGGAUUUGAAGGGGCUGUGGUUCCAAGGUCAGGUGUCGGUUGUUGAUGUGCAGGGUGGUUUGAAAACAGAUUCUGCAUUGAACCUCUACAGCGAUCCUCAAAUAAAAGUGUACUCUCAUGACGACAAUGUUUCUGAAAAUUUUAUGUUUGGUUGGACAACUGUAUUGGAGAUUUGAAGGGCCUUUUGUUCCACAACAAGGUGUUGGCAGUUGGUGUGCAUUGUAUGGGAGGUGAUGGGAAGACUACUCUCACAUUGGCUCAGUGCAAUGAUCCAAAUUAAAGGUGAUACACCUGUUAAUUCUGUUGAUGUUUUUCUCAAUGUUUUAAGCCUUUAUUAGAAAGGCCAUUCUAUUUUAAAUUUCUGGGGUUUCCUCCCAUGUCAAGAGUAUAGGUAUGUGCAUAAAAAGAGAUAAGCUAGCACAUACAAAGUGUGUUCAUAUGGUAUUGUGUGGUUGAUUGGAACUGUUAUUUUUAGUGCUUGUUCAUUUAUAAAAACAGUUUUGAUUACUAUAAGAACAAAAUGGGAGGUGUCUUCCUAUAAAGCCAAUAUAAUUGACAUAUAUUUUUGUGCCUCAAAAGGCAUCGAAUCAGUUUUUGUUGGAUAUUUCUUGGUCUAUCUUCUAUAAGCAAUGCCACUUCUUACCUGUUAUCAACUCCGUCAAGCUGAACGGGGGUUAGUCUCCUUGCAUCUUGAUUCCAUGAAACUCUUAACUAUCAAGAACUAUUCUUAAACAUCAAACAGUUUAAUAGUCAAAAAGUAAAUUUUUGCCGAUAACAAGACAAUAUUUUGGUGAGGAAUCAAAUUGCCAUUGACUAGUUGACCAUCAAACCCUUUGAGGUUUAAGUGGAGCGCCAUAUCAGCACUGUAUGCCAUAAUGGUAUGUGGCUGCCCUAAUCAGCUAAAAGUAUCAUGUUGAAAACACCUCUUGAAAACACAGCCAAGAGGAUUUUGUUUUCAAGCACCAGAGUUUCUUCUUUGCCGCAUUAUAUACAUUUAGAAUCUGUCAUGGGGGUCACUAUGCUACUCUGUAUUAGAUUAAAUGACAUAUUUUCAGGCAUGUUUACGUAUUCAGUCUAUAAAACACACUUGGCUUUCCAUGGGUUCUAUAUUUUUGUGACAACAAUGUGACAUCACAGCCUCGCAGUCCAGAAUCCUGAAAGGAACAUUAGAAACUAAGUAGUGAAGAUAGCUUGAAGGAAAAGACCAGAGUUCAAGGAUGUGGACGAUACACGCAUUGAGCUGCAGCAAUUGAUUUUGAGUCAAUCCAAGCUAACUAUAUUUAUUUUUUAUUAUGUUUGGUCUCAAAAACGUUAGGAAAUUUUUUUAUUAGAAGGUCCGGAACAAAAGACUUUUGUAACUAUCAGAGACAAUUCCACCGUACCCAAAAAAACCUCUCUACACAGCUCUAUCAAUUGCCAUUGUUGGAUCCAAAGGAUGCUCUGUCAUUUCUCUGCUUCUGGCCCUUUGGUCAAAUGUAAUUCCAAGUGAUACAGAUACAAAUCUAAUAAAGGAGGUAUGGAAUUUUUUGAAAUAAUUGUUGUUUUGUGAGUAAUAUACAAUUUUUUAUUUAUUAGAUUUCCUUGUUCUACAAGGUCUGCUUAUAAAUUUUCCUUAUAUUUUAUGAAUUGCAGGUGCAAAUAGAAUGUGAUGGUCUGCCACUUUUGCUCUGAUGAUGAUUGGAAGCUCUUUGUUUGGAGAACCCCACGAGGUUAGGAAGAGACCAAAGAACAAGAUUUGUAGAGUAGAAUAUAUAUGAGAUUAUCACAUAAAAGGGUUAUUUAGAUUGCUGCAGACAAGUAUUGAGUACUUAGCUAUGUUACCAAAAAUGUGGUGGAAGAGCCUGUUAAAUGUUUUAACUGCAUCGCAAUUUUUUCAGCAUGCAACGUUUCUGUUUAAAAAAACAGACCCUAUGGAGGAAGAUCAGUGGCAUAAUAUGAAUUCCCCCGAGACGGGCUCUUUUGUCUCUCUUACUUUGACAGAUACUUUAGAACUUCAAAUUUCUGAUGGUUUUCAAUUUGGAUACAAAGAAGGCAACACAGAAAAUCCAGAGAAAAAUUGAAAGAAACUAAGAAAACCUCAACUCAACUCCCUCAAUUUCUUGAGUUGUCCUAUUUACUUUAAUAAUAUCAAGUUUUCAUACCACACGCAGAAAAUUUCUGAUGGUUUACAUCACUGCUCCAAGAAAAUUUCAGUAUGCAAUGGCUUGAAAGAACUUCCACAGGAAAUAAGACAACUCGAGAAUUUGAUGGAGUUUGAUAUGAGAGAGUAUUCGCAAUUGACAUGAAGCUUGUUGUACGUGAUGAGAAGAUUAGGAAGCAGUGGUUGCUGGCCAAGAACGUUGAUCAUAAGAGUUGAAAUUGUGGAAACACACUUUAGUUUUGAUCGACUUCUUUUCUUAUCUCAUCCUGAAGCACAAGAUCCAAGCAUCUUGACAUUUUCAUAUUCACUCGUACAAAUCAAUAGAAGAUUACUUUGACAACAAUGUGAUUUUUAUCCCUGUUUCACAAUCUCCAAACCUAAAAGGAAUAUUAGAGACUAUGUGGGAGAAUUUAGCUAGAAGAAAAAGACCAGAAUUUCUGGAUGUGCAAGAUGCGCACAUAAAUCUGCAGCAGCUGCUUUCGAAGCAAUCCAAGCCAACUCUAGUUAUAUUGGAUGAUGUUCGGACUAGUGAAAAUUUGGAAGACUUAUUAUUUGAAGGCCCGGCAUAGAAGACUCUUAUAACUACCAGAGACAAGUCCAUCAUCCCCAGAACUCCCUCUUCACAACUCUAUCAAUUGCCAUUGUUGGGCACAGAGGAUGCUCUGUCGCUUUUCUGCUUCUGGGCUUUUGGACAGACAUCAAUUCCAAGCGAUAUAGAUAUAAAUCUAGUAAAGGAGGUGCAAGCAGGAUGUGAUGGUCUGCCACUUGCUCUAAAGAUGGUUGGAAGCUCUAUACAUGGGGAACUGGACGAGGUUUGGAAGAGGGCAAAGAAGAUUUCUGAAGGAGAAUAUAUGUCAGUUUAUCACAGAAAAGGGCUAUUUAGAUUGCUACAGACCAGUAUUGAUUCCUUAGACGAUGUAACCAAGGAACGCUUCUUAGACUUGGGGUUAUUUCCAAGGAACAGGAGAAUCUGUGUUGAUGCACUAUUGGACAUUUGGGUUUAUGUUCGGAAGCUACGAAGGCAUGAUGCUUGUGACAUCUUAUCAGAACUUGCAAGCAAAAGUUUGUUGAAUUUAACUAGCAAUCAAAGAGGAAGUGCAUCAAUCUCAUAUAGAAAUGCUUCGGAGCUGUACUUUUCUCAGCAUAAUGUACUGAGAAAUUUGGCCUUGUAUUUGGGACAUCUAGACAAUAUAGUUCACAGUAAGAGGUUGGUAAUAUCAAGGAAGGACUCUAAUUUGUUGGCGAAAGGGGAGUUGCUUGGUGAUAGAGCAUUUAAUACUCAAAUUCUCUCCAUUCUCACUGGCCCUAUGGCGGAAAAUGACUGGAAUGGUAUGACUUUCCCCGAAACAGAGGCUCUGUUGUUACACUUUACUUCAACAGAUUACUUUCUUCCCCCAUUUUUGAAAUCCAUGAAAAAACUAAAAGUUCUGAUGGUCUUCAAUUGCGGUGCAAAGAAAGCAACAGUGAAAGGGUUAGAUAUCUUAUCUUCACUCACUCAACUCAAAGAGUGUCCGCAUGGAGAGAUUGAUUUCACCCCUUGUUGAAAAACAAAGCAUCGAAGCACUGCAGAAUUUAGAGAAGCUAUCACUGAGCUUAUGUGAAGGAUUUGGAAAUAUAUCCACAUUCACCAAGCUCCAUGAUUUAAACCUGGAUCACAGUAGUGAUUUGGAGGAGUUAACCCCUGGUGUCUGCAAUAUUCGCUCCAUUCUGUCGUGGUCUAUUACCAACUGCCAUCUGCUUCAGAAUUUACCACAUGACUUUGGAAAUAUGAGCUAUCUAAGAAUGCUAAGGUUAUCUGUAUUACCAGGCCUGAAAGAGCUUCCUGCAUCAAUUGGAAAACUUGCACAGUUGGAGUAUCUAGACAUUUCAUUAUGCGAGGGUUUGAAGAAACUCCCAAAGGAAGUAGGACAGCUCAAGAAGUUGAGGGAAAUUGAUAUGAGAGAGUGUUCGCGUUUGACGAGGUUACCUGCAACUGUUUGUGAACUAAGUUCUCUGAAGCUUGUCACCUGUGAUGAGAAGAUUGGGAAUCAGUGGUUGCGGGCCAAGAACAUUUCUAUUCCAGAGCGUAGAGUUGAAAUCGUGGAAGCAUAUUUUAGUUUGGACUGGCUUGAAGAUUGACUUUCUUGUUGAAUGUGAAGUGCAAGGGUUAUCUGUUUUUCCUCUUCCCUUGUUUCUUCAUGUUUUUUUGGUUGUCUUUUCAAAUUUGAUGAGUUUAUUUGAAGGAGUCAUUUGAGGAAAUGAAUAAAGAUAUUGUCCUGCUUUUUGUGGAUGUAA
RNA transcript from Cryptomeria japonica (Japanese cedar), 6708 nucleotides. It is a transcript of the gene named probable disease resistance protein At4g33300, with no coding region annotated. The record is from RefSeq and is a predicted model, not a curated record. The transcript has 8 exons. NCBI's taxonomy places the organism in Eukaryota, Viridiplantae, Streptophyta, Pinopsida, Cupressales, Cupressaceae.